GAGGAUGGGUCUACGGCCUAUCAGGUAGUAGUGGGUGUAAUGUACCUACUAGCCUACGACGCGUACGGGUUGUGAGAGCAAGAGCACGGAGAUGGAUUCUGAGACAUGAAUCCAGGCCCUACGACGCGCAGCAGGCGCGAAAACUUUACGGUGC
This 154-nucleotide ribosomal RNA is filed under the name uncultured Methanosarcina sp. RNAcentral's name for it is "partial 16S ribosomal RNA". It matches the Rfam family "Archaeal small subunit ribosomal RNA", at positions 205 to 358 of the family's 1478-position model. The record is from RNAcentral. Lineage: Archaea; Methanobacteriati; Methanobacteriota; Methanomicrobia; Methanosarcinales; Methanosarcinaceae.